GACGAACGCUGGCGGCGUGCUUAACACAUGCAAGUCGAACGGAAAGGCCCUGCUUUUGUGGGGUGCUCGAGUGGCGAACGGGUGAGUAACACGUGAGUAACCUGCCCUUGACUUUGGGAUAACUUCAGGAAACUGGGGCUAAUACCGGAUAGGAGCUCCUGCCGCAUGGUGGGGGUUGGAAAGUUUCGGCGGUUGGGGAUGGACUCGCGGCUUAUCAGCUUGUUGGUGGGGUAGUGGCUUACCAAGGCUUUGACGGGUAGCCGGCCUGAGAGGGUGACCGGCCACAUUGGGACUGGGAUACGGCCCAGACUCCUACGGGAGGCAGCAGUGGGGAAUAUUGCGCAAUGGGCGGAAGCCUGAUGCAGCAACGCCGCGUGCGGGAUGACGGCCUUCGGGUUGUAAACCGCUUUCGCCUGUGACGAAGCGUGAGUGACGGUAAUGGGUAAAGAAGCACCGGCUAACUACGUG
This 468-nucleotide ribosomal RNA is filed under the name uncultured bacterium. RNAcentral's name for it is "partial 16S ribosomal RNA". It matches the Rfam family "Bacterial small subunit ribosomal RNA", at positions 28 to 507 of the family's 1533-position model. The record is from RNAcentral.